Molecule: ribosomal RNA, 368 nt
Filed under: Leafhopper (Deltocephalinae) aster yellows phytoplasma
Lineage: Bacteria; Bacillati; Mycoplasmatota; Mollicutes; Acholeplasmatales; Acholeplasmataceae
Description: bacterial SSU rRNA
Rfam family: Bacterial small subunit ribosomal RNA
Source: RNAcentral
GCAAUGGAGAACUUAAAGGAAUUGACGGGACUCCGCACAAGCGGUGGAUCAUGUUGUUUAAUUCGAAGGUACCCGAAAAACCUCACCAGGUCUUGACAUGCUUCUGCAAAGCUGUAGAAACACAGUGGAGGUUAUCAGUUGCACAGGUGGUGCAUGGUUGUCGUCAGCUCGUGUCGUGAGAUGUUGGGUUAAGUCCCGCAACGAGCGCAACCCUUAUUGUUAGUUACCAGCACGUAAUGGUGGGGACUUUAGCAAGACUGCCAGUGAUGAAUUGGAGGAAGGUGGGGACGACGUCAAAUCAUCAUGCCCCUUAUGACCUGGGCUACAAACGUGAUACAAUGGCUGUUACAAAAGGUAGCUGAAAGAAA